UGGAAGUGGUUGGUGGCAGCGGAUCUGAUGAUGGUAGUGGGGGAAGACGGUGGGUGGUGGAGAGAAAGGGGGCGGCAGAGUCCGCCAAAAAUCAAGCAGCAGCAGUCGAGCCAAACCCCACUGCUCCAUCUGGAAGGCGGCGGAUCUGCGGGAGUGGUGGAGGAAGGCGGUGGGUGGUGGAGAGAGAGGGGGCGGUGGAGUUCGUCGGACAUAGAAGAGGGGGAAGAG
This 228-nucleotide long non-coding RNA is filed under the name Salvia miltiorrhiza (redroot sage). RNAcentral's name for it is "long non-coding RNA (SMIL_LNC013341)". The record is from RNAcentral. Lineage: Eukaryota; Viridiplantae; Streptophyta; Magnoliopsida; Lamiales; Lamiaceae.